Molecule: ribosomal RNA, 630 nt
Filed under: uncultured bacterium
Lineage: Bacteria
Description: bacterial SSU rRNA
Rfam family: Bacterial small subunit ribosomal RNA
Source: RNAcentral
UACGCGCGGAUCUUCCAGAGAUUAGAGUUUGAUCCUGGCUCAGAUUGAACGCUGGCGGCAGGCCUAACACAUGCAAGUCGAACGGUAACAGGAAGCAGCUUGCUGCUUCGCUGACGAGUGGCGGACGGGUGAGUAAUGUCUGGGAAACUGCCUGAUGGAGGGGGAUAACUACUGGAAACGGUAGCUAAUACCGCAUAACGUCGCAAGACCAAAGAGGGGGACCUUAGGGCCUCUUGCCAUCGGAUGUGCCCAGAUGGGAUUAGCUAGUAGGUGGGGUAACGGCUCACCUAGGCGACGAUCCCUAGCUGGUCUGAGAGGAUGACCAGCCACACUGGAACUGAGACACGGUCCAGACUCCUACGGGAGGCAGCAGUGAGGAAUAUUGCGCAAUGGGGGCAACCCUGACGCAGCGACGCCGCGUGGAUGAUGAAGGCCUUCGGGUCGUAAAAUCCUGUCGGAUGGAAAGAAGUGUGAUGUGGUUAAUACCCAUGUCAUUUGACGGUACCAUCAGAGGAAGCACCGGCUAACUCCGUGCCAGCAGCCGCGGUAAUACGGAGGGUGCAAGCGUUGUUCGGAAUUACUGGGCGUAAAGCGCGCGUAGGCGGUUUGAUAAGUCAGAUGUGAAAGCCC